Molecule: transfer RNA, 68 nt
Filed under: Marmota monax (woodchuck)
Lineage: Eukaryota; Metazoa; Chordata; Mammalia; Rodentia; Sciuridae
Description: tRNA.Ala
Source: RNAcentral
GGACUGUGGCUCAGCGGUAGAGCGCUUGCUUAGCACAUGCGAGGCCCUGGGUUCAAUCCUCAGCACCA